GAGAUAUAACCACAGGUUCAGAACACCCUGUUAUAAAGGAGCUGAACAUCCUUGGAGCAACACAUGACAUCUAGAACUCUACAUGGUCCAAGGUCUGUCUCACAAGGAGGACUGUGUAAUUAAAGCUAACUACAAACUAAGCUGAUUCUACUGUCAGAUUUGGUCCAAACCUACUUUUCUUUUAACAACCUGGUAACCAAGUGCCAUACAAGAUACACUGAACUCAAAUCUACAGAGACUAUCAAUCCUUGAACAGCAAGUUCAGAGCAGUUGAAUAUGACAAUAGCCAUGUAGGAUGUGCCUGCUUCCCCUCUGCCAUGAUUUUAAGUUUCCUGAGGCUCCCCCAGUCAUCUUUCCUGUACAGCCUAUGGAACCAUGAGCCAGUUAAACCUCUUUUCUUUAUAAAAUGCCAAGUCUCAGCUUUAAUGCUAUCAAUGAGAACAAGAAUAUUUGGCUUAUCUUCAACAUCUUCAUACCAUCAGAUAACUCCAAAGUUAACACAGGAUACGUCAUCCACAUUGCUGCCAGAGCAUUCUCUCUGAAAUGAUUAUCUGAUCAUCAUCCUCUCUUCUUCUCCACAAGCUCAAACACUUUCAGUGACUGAUUUGAAACCAGUUGUACCGUAUUAUUAGGAAAGGCGCCUUGAUGAAAAGAU
Molecule: long non-coding RNA, 655 nt
Filed under: Homo sapiens (human)
Lineage: Eukaryota; Metazoa; Chordata; Mammalia; Primates; Hominidae
Description: non-protein coding lnc-TMEM196-1:1
Source: RNAcentral